RNAcentral lists this ribosomal RNA (192 nucleotides) under uncultured bacterium. RNAcentral describes it as "partial 16S ribosomal RNA". It matches the Rfam family "Bacterial small subunit ribosomal RNA", at positions 1307 to 1500 of the family's 1533-position model. The record is from RNAcentral.
GAAAUUCGCCUUCAUGAAGCUGGAAUUGCUAGUAAUGGCAGGUCAGCAUACUGCCGUGAAUACGUUCCCGGGCCUUGUACACACCGCCCGUCACACCAUGAGAGUUGGGAAUACCCGAAGCCUGUGAGCUAACAUAUGAGGCAGCAGUCGAAGGUAGAAUCAAUGAUUGGGGCGAAGUCGUAACAAGGUAAC